GGAGGAUCAUUUGCACAUGUCUCUUCAACACAAUGUUCAAUGAUAUUGUGGGCUGUGGCUUGCUGGUCUUGCUUCAAGCUGGUAUGUCUUGCCCUGGGCUGCAUGGCUUGCAAUCGCAACCAUGUGUGCUAAUUGUAUUUACAAGGCAUAACGUGGCAUUGCUAAUGUGCUUGACUUUUACAUGUAAUAUGUUUUGCAAAGAAUGUCUUAGCUCAAUAGAUGAUGAAGAAUGCAGCAAAAUGCAUUAUGCAUUGUGAAUUGCAGAAUUCCGUGAGCCAAUUGAUGUUUGAAUGUUACUUGCACCUUCGGGAUAUGCUUGAAGGUUUGCUUGAUUCAAUGCCAAUACUCUUCCAAGUGUAUCUGUGCUGCUCAGCAUUGCUGUGAGCUGUUAAGGGUCAAUGUGUGUUGCAUUGGACCUUUGUGCUUGCAGAUGUGUUGCAACCUGAACAUGAUUAAUUGGGGCUGACCUUUUUCAUCAUUUGUUGGUUGCUAUUGCAUAUCAUUUGCUUAUUGGUGAAAUGUUGAACAUUGACAAUGCAUUUGGCAUGAAGUGAAGCACAUAAACCUGCUGAAUUUAAGCAUAUAAGUAAGUGGUGGAAAUUAAACC
RNAcentral lists this ribosomal RNA (607 nucleotides) under Alexandrium tamarense. RNAcentral's name for it is "eukaryotic LSU rRNA". The stretch from base 188 to 342 matches the Rfam family "5.8S ribosomal RNA". Lineage: Eukaryota; Dinophyceae; Gonyaulacales; Pyrocystaceae. The record is from RNAcentral.